CCUACGGGAGGCAGCAGUGAGGAAUAUUGGUCAAUGGGCGGAAGCCUGAACCAGCCAAGUCGCGUGAGGGAAUAAGGCCCUACGGGUCGUAAACCUCUUUUGCCGGGGAGCAAGGGCCGGGACGAGUCCCGGUCCGGCGAGUACUCGGAGAAAAAGCAUCGGCUAACUCCGUGCCAGCAGCCGCGGUAAUACGGAGGAUGCGAGCGUUAUCCGGAUUUCUUGGGUUUAAAGGGUUCGUAGGCGGGCUAUUAAGUCAGCGGUAAAAAUUCGGGGCUCAACCCCGUCCGGCCGUUGAAACUGGGGGCCUUGAGUGGGCGAGAAGAAGGCGGAAUGCGUGGUGUAGCGGUGAAAUGCAUAGAUAUCACGCAGAACCCCGAUUGCGAAGGCAGCCUUCCGGCGCCCUACUGACGCUGAGGCACGAAAGUGCGGGGAUCGAACAGGAUUAGAUACCCCAGUAGUC
RNAcentral lists this ribosomal RNA (460 nucleotides) under uncultured bacterium. RNAcentral describes it as "partial 16S ribosomal RNA". It matches the Rfam family "Bacterial small subunit ribosomal RNA", at positions 338 to 795 of the family's 1533-position model. The record is from RNAcentral.